This 468-nucleotide ribosomal RNA is filed under the name uncultured bacterium. RNAcentral describes it as "partial 16S ribosomal RNA". It matches the Rfam family "Bacterial small subunit ribosomal RNA", at positions 28 to 507 of the family's 1533-position model. The record is from RNAcentral.
GAUGAACGCUGGCGGCGUGCUUAACACAUGCAAGUCGAACGGAAAGGCCCAAGCUUGCUUGGGUACUCGAGUGGCGAACGGGUGAGUAACACGUGGGUGAUCUGCCCUGCACUUCGGGAUAAGCCUGGGAAACUGGGUCUAAUACUGGAUAGGACCACUUCUUGGAUGGUGUGGUGGAAAGAUUUUUCGGUGUGGGAUGAGCUCGCGGCCUAUCAGCUUGUUGGGGGGGUAGUGGCCUACCAAGGCGUCGACGGGUAGCCGGCCUGAGAGGGUGUACGGCCACAUUGUGAGUGAGAUACGGCGCAGACACCUACGCGAGGGAGCAGUGGGGAAUAUUGCGCAAUGGGGGCAAGACUGAUGCGGCGACGCGGCGUGGGGGAUGACGGCCUUCGGGUUGUGAACUCCUUUCGCUAGGGACGAAGCGUUUUUGUGACGGUACCUGGAGAAGAAGCACCGGCUAACUACGUG